GAUGAACGCUGGCGGCGUGCUUAACACAUGCAAGUCGAACGAUGAAGCCCAGCUUGCUGGGUGGAUUAGUGGCGAACGGGUGAGUAACACGUGAGUAACCUGCCCUUAACUCUGGGAUAAGCCUGGGAAACUGGGUCUAAUACCGGAUAGGAGCGUCCACCGCAUGGUGGGUGUUGGGAAGAUUUAUCGGUUUUGGAUGGACUCGCGGCCUAUCAGCUUUUUGGUGAGGUAAUGGCUCACCAAGGCGACGACGGGUAGCCGGCCUGAGAGGGUGACCGGCCACACUGGGACUAAGAGAGGGCCCAGACUCCUACGGUAGGCAGCAGUGGGGAAUAUUGCCCAAUGGUCGCAAGUCUGAUGCAGCGACGCUGGGUGAGGGAGGAAGGCCUUCGGGUUGUAAAGCUCUUUCAGUAGGGAAGAAGCGAAAGUGACGGUACCUGCAGAAGAAGCACCGGCUAACUACGUG
This 466-nucleotide ribosomal RNA is filed under the name uncultured bacterium. Its description in RNAcentral is "partial 16S ribosomal RNA". It matches the Rfam family "Bacterial small subunit ribosomal RNA", at positions 28 to 507 of the family's 1533-position model. The record is from RNAcentral.